RNAcentral lists this ribosomal RNA (439 nucleotides) under uncultured bacterium. Its description in RNAcentral is "partial 16S ribosomal RNA". It matches the Rfam family "Bacterial small subunit ribosomal RNA", at positions 339 to 795 of the family's 1533-position model. The record is from RNAcentral.
CUACGGGCGGCUGCAGUGAGGAAUAUUGCACAAUGGGGGGAACCCUGAUGCAGCAACGCCGCGUGGAGGAUGACGCAUUUCGGUGUGUAAACUCCUUUUAUAUGUCAAGAAAGUGACGGUAGCAUAUGAAUAAGCACCGGCUAACUCCGUGCCAGCAGCCGCGGUAAUACGGAGGGUGCAAGCGUUACUCGGAAUCACUGGGCGUAAAGGACGCGUAGGCGGGUUGGAAAGUCAGGUGUGAAAUCCUACAGCUUAACUGUAGAGCUGCACUUGAAACUUCUAAUCUAGAGUAUGGGAGGGGGAGAUGGAAUUAGUGGUGUAGGGGUAAAAUCCGUAGAUAUCACUAGGAAUACCUAAAGCGAAGGCGAUCUCCUGGAACAUUACUGACGCUAAGGCGUGAAAGCGUGGGGAGCAAACAGGAUUAGAUACCCCAGUAGUC